Molecule: long non-coding RNA, 403 nt
Filed under: Cairina moschata (Muscovy duck)
Lineage: Eukaryota; Metazoa; Chordata; Aves; Anseriformes; Anatidae
Description: domestica (muscovy Duck (domestic type)) lncRNA (ENSCMMG00000015003.1)
Source: RNAcentral
AUGCUGAUUAUCAACCGAUUAACCUUUGCUUUUUUUGUGAACCGCAUCUAUUCAAUGUCUGCAUUUGAUUUUGUUUUAUUUUUUUUCCAGGCUGGAAGGAUUAUCCUGUUGCAUUGUAAACAACCACUAAACCUUCUAAAGAGAUUUCUCAUCUGCACUGUUUUGCUGGUAGUGAUGAAAUGGAUAUCUGUGGAAAUAUUCCCUUUUUGGAAUAUUGGAUGAUGAGACUGAAGGAUGACUAAUAAUACCUGCACUUAAAUGAUCCCAUUACCGUAUCCUGAAUCCUAAAUUAGAUCUUCCCUACUACCUCCUCUCUAGGUCAGUAUUAUUCCUGUGAUAUUCAUGUAGAAAGUUUGUUGUUGUUUUUUAUUUAAUGUAAAAAAUAAUCUAACAAGUUGGUUCA